GCGAACGCUGGCGGCAGGCCUAACACAUGCAAGUCGAACGAACCUUUCGGGGUUAGUGGCGGACGGGUGAGUGACACGUGGGAACGUGCCUUUAGGUUCGGAAUAACUCAGGGAAACUUGUGCUAAUACCGAAUGUGCCCUUCGGGGGAAAGAUUUAUCGCCUUUAGAGCGGCCCGCGUCUGAUUAGCUAGUUGGUUGAGGUAAUGGCUCACCAAGGCGACGAUCAGUAGCUGGUCUGAGAGGAUGAUCAGCCACAUUGGGACUGAGACACGGCCCAAACUCCUACGGGAAGCAGCAGUGGGGAAUCUUGCGCAAUGGGCGAAAGCCUGACGCAGCCAUGCCGCGUGAAUGAUGAAGGUCUUAGGAUUGUAAAAUUCUUUCACCGGGGACGAUAAUGACGGUACCCGGAGAAGAAGCCCCGGCUAACUUCGUG
RNAcentral lists this ribosomal RNA (433 nucleotides) under uncultured bacterium. RNAcentral describes it as "partial 16S ribosomal RNA". It matches the Rfam family "Bacterial small subunit ribosomal RNA", at positions 29 to 507 of the family's 1533-position model. The record is from RNAcentral.